RNAcentral lists this long non-coding RNA (553 nucleotides) under Carica papaya (papaya). Its description in RNAcentral is "long non-coding RNA (CPAP_LNC006410)". Lineage: Eukaryota; Viridiplantae; Streptophyta; Magnoliopsida; Brassicales; Caricaceae. The record is from RNAcentral.
AUUAUCAUAAUCAUGGAAUAAUAUAAGCUGUAAAACAUAGCACUUAUCACACCUUUUGUAAUUCAAUCAUUAUACAAUAUAUUCUUUUCUCAUUUAUCAGCCUACUAGUAUCCAUGGGGGUCCAUAGGGGUCCCGCUACCCGUUAACCUUUAACAUUCAUAAUCAGUUUCCAGGGCCGUCCCCAUACCCCGUCCGGUAUGGGCGCCAAAACUAUGAACCUCAAUACCCCGUCCGGUAUGAGGGUGAAACGGGCUGUCCCCAUACCCCGUCCGGUAUGGGCGCCAAAAUCAUAAACCUCAAUACCCCGUCCGGUAUGAGGGUGAAAUGGGUCGUCCCCAUACCCCGUCCGGUAUGGGCGCCAAAACCAUAAGAUCUCCAUACCCCGUCCGGCAUGUGAGACCACAAUCCCGGUAGGGUUCCCUACGGACCCGGUCCGUCCACCAUCUCCCAGGAUAUCUAGUCAGGCUGACCCCCAUAAUACGAUUAUCAGUCUACACAAUCUUUCAUUUUCCUCUUCCUCAGUAAGUAUUAUCAAUUCACAUUUUAAACAAGC